RNAcentral lists this ribosomal RNA (362 nucleotides) under Klebsiella pneumoniae. RNAcentral describes it as "partial 23S ribosomal RNA". It matches the Rfam family "Bacterial large subunit ribosomal RNA", at positions 2569 to 2925 of the family's 2925-position model. Lineage: Bacteria; Pseudomonadati; Pseudomonadota; Gammaproteobacteria; Enterobacterales; Enterobacteriaceae. The record is from RNAcentral.
GGGUAUGGCUGUUCGCCAUUUAAAGUGGUACGCGAGCUGGGUUUAGAACGUCGUGAGACAGUUCGGUCCCUAUCUGCCGUGGGCGCUGGAGAAUUGAGGGGGGCUGCUCCUAGUACGAGAGGACCGGAGUGGACGCAUCACUGGUGUUCGGGUUGUCAUGCCAAUGGCACUGCCCGGUAGCUAAAUGCGGAAGAGAUAAGUGCUGAAAGCAUCUAAGCACGAAACUUGCCCCGAGAUGAGUUCUCCCUGAGACUUUAAGUCUCCUGAAGGAACGUUAAAGACGAUGACGUUGAUAGGCCGGGUGUGUAAGCGCAGCGAUGCGUUGAGCUAACCGGUACUAAUGAACCGUGAGGCUUAACCUU